This 75-nucleotide transfer RNA is filed under the name Stenamma diecki. Its description in RNAcentral is "tRNA-Asn". The record is from RNAcentral. Lineage: Eukaryota; Metazoa; Arthropoda; Insecta; Hymenoptera; Formicidae.
UUAGCUAAAACCAAAGAAGAGGUAAAUUAUUGUUAAUAAUUUUAUUGAAUUUAUAAGAUAUACAUUCUAGUUGAA